GGGUGAACAUUGUCGGCACAUCUUUCUAUGGAAAGAUGUUGAAUAUUUCAACACCCUAUAGGAAUCUUACAUAAUUCUUACUUAGGUAUCUUAAAUUUUUUUUUUGAAUUUUUUAGUAACAAUCUAUCACACACUUGUAGUUCAAAUUUGAAUUACUUUUCAGAAAUCGCUAGAAAUUCAUUUAAAUGGGGUAAAGUAUCAAUAUAGCUAUAAAAUUUAAAGCCCUUGGACACAGCCAUUUUAAUACGUUCUACUUUGUGUGAAAAUUGUAUAGGUGCCAUUUUGAACCAUAAAUAUUGUACUUGCUUCACAAAAUACUACAUUUUUGCAUUGAAAAAAUGGAAAAUCAUUUUUCCUGAGAAAGACCGUGUUA
RNAcentral lists this long non-coding RNA (373 nucleotides) under Brachypodium distachyon (stiff brome). Its description in RNAcentral is "long non-coding RNA (BDIS_LNC005480)". Lineage: Eukaryota; Viridiplantae; Streptophyta; Magnoliopsida; Poales; Poaceae. The record is from RNAcentral.